UUUCCUUUUGAAUUUCCCUCCUCCUCAUCUCUUUUAUGUUGAUUUAGCAUUCAUAUUUAAUUCCUGAGUGUAAAUUAGGUUUAGUUCAUGUUUGUCAAGUUGUUUUAGUCUCGUCUGUUGGUUUGAACAUCAUUUUCAUUUUUCCUGAGAAUUAAUUAGGUUUAAUUUAAGUUGUAUCAGUCUUGUUUGGUAGUUUGAACUUUAUUUUUUUUAAUUCCUAAGCUUGAAUUAGCUUCAGUUCAUGCUAAUCGAGUUGUAUUAGUCUUUUCUAUUGGUUUGGUUUUCAUGAGUUUAAAUUAGGUUUAGUUUAUCUUAAUCAAGUUGUAUUGGUUUUGUGAGUUGGUUAAUUUAUGUUUUCGACUGGUUUUAAUCAAUGCUGAGCUGAAUUAUGAUAAGUCCUAUAUUAGAAUUUAUUGGUAUGAGUGUUGUAUGUUUGAUUUAUGUUCUAUUUGUUUUUUUUAGGUUACUUACUGUAGUUUUCUCGUUUGAAUUGCUCAUGGUUUGACCCAUUUGAAUCCUCAGUUGUUUAAUUAAUUUUUUUUGUAAUAUUUCAAAUGGUUUACAGUUUAAUUGGCCACCCAAAACUAGAGGGUAAAUAACAGGGCAACUAAGGGUUAUUAAGGUAAUUCAAUUAGGGAAUCCUAGGUGCAACAACUUAGGAAGCUUUCUAGAAGUCAAGUCAGGAAUUAAAGAAUUUCUUAAGAAAAAAUGAGAUUAAAAGGAUAAAAAAAUGCAAAUUAAGGUCUGAAAGUUGCCUUAAUUCCUCGCUUAUAAAGGCAUGCCACUCUUGCCUUGAAAAAAGAGGUUAAAAAGGCGAAAAAAAGAGAGGUUAGAGAUCAGAUUGGCAAAAAUAAUUUCUGAGAAUAAAAAGAGCUAUCAAUUCAGAAAAUGGCAAGCAACCAAAUUCUGUAGAAAACUAUUAUUCCAUUGAAGUUUUCCUGAGAUUCUUGAAGUUCUCAUUGUUAAAGUUAUUCCUAAAUAUUCAAGGGUUAAAAUGAGUUGAGUUUUAUUGGGUAUUCAAGUGUUUGGGUCAACUUCUGAUGGAAGUUUGAUUGCUGGGG
Molecule: long non-coding RNA, 1061 nt
Filed under: Nicotiana benthamiana
Lineage: Eukaryota; Viridiplantae; Streptophyta; Magnoliopsida; Solanales; Solanaceae
Description: long non-coding RNA (NBEN_LNC024329)
Source: RNAcentral